UCCGUAGGCGGUCUUAUAAGUCAGUGGUGAAAUCUCCCCGCUCAACGGGGAAACGGCCAUUGAUACUGUAGGACUUGAAUUAUUAGGAAGUAACUAGAAUAUGUAGUGUAGCGGUGAAAUGCUUAGAGAUUACAUGGAAUACCAAUUGCGAAGGCAGGUUACUACUAAUGGAUUGACGCUGAUGGACGAAAGCGUGGGUAGCGAACAGGAUUAGAUACCCUGGUAGUCCACGCCGUAAACGAUGGAUACUAGCUGUUGGGAGCAAUUUCAGUGGCUAAGCGAAAGUGAUAAGUAUCCCACCUGGGGAGUACGUUCGCAAGAAUGAA
RNAcentral lists this ribosomal RNA (326 nucleotides) under uncultured Bacteroidota bacterium. RNAcentral's name for it is "bacterial SSU rRNA". It matches the Rfam family "Bacterial small subunit ribosomal RNA", at positions 568 to 898 of the family's 1533-position model. The record is from RNAcentral. Lineage: Bacteria; Pseudomonadati; Bacteroidota.